GACGAACGCUGGCGGCGUGCCUAAUACAUGCAAGUAGAACGCACAGUUUAUACCGUAGCUUGCUACACCAUAGACUGUGAGUUGCGAACGGGUGAGUAACGCGUAGGUAACCUGCCUGGUAGCGGGGGAUAACUAUUGGAAACGAUAGCUAAUACCGCAUAAUAUUGAUUAUUGCAUGAUAAUUGAUUGAAAGAUGCUAUUGCAUCACUACCAGAUGGACCUGCGUUGUAUUAGCUAGUAGGUGAGGUAACGGCUCACCUAGGCGGCGAUACAUAGCCGACCUGGGAGGGUGAGCGGCCACACUGGGACGGGGACACGGCCCAGACUCCUACGGGAGGCAGCAGUAGGGAAUCUUCGGCAAUGGACGAAAGUCUGACCGAGCAACGCCGCGUGAGUGAAGAAGGUUUUCGGAUCGUAAAGCUCUGUUGUAAGAGAAGAACGGGUGUGAGAGUGGAAAGUUCACACUGUGACGGUAUCUUACCAGAAAGGGACGGCUAACUACGUG
Molecule: ribosomal RNA, 505 nt
Filed under: uncultured bacterium
Lineage: Bacteria
Description: partial 16S ribosomal RNA
Rfam family: Bacterial small subunit ribosomal RNA
Source: RNAcentral